Molecule: long non-coding RNA, 1007 nt
Organism: Malurus melanocephalus (red-backed fairy wren)
Lineage: Eukaryota; Metazoa; Chordata; Aves; Passeriformes; Maluridae
Exons: 3
Source: RefSeq, a predicted model, not a curated record
CUUCAGCUCAAAAUACCUGGUUUAGGYACUCAUUGCACUGGAUGGAAGCAGCCAGGUCAGGUGACUGAGCCCAUCACUGCUGCAGUGGUUUUUUGCAUUGUUAGCUUUCUGUCAGUUCAGUGAACUGAGUUUUGCUCAUGAAGACAUCUCCAGUGCUGGAUACACCAGCAGAGUACAGAGUAACUGGGAUUGAGACUGGCCCUUUUGGGGGUGUUAAGUUAAACCAGUCAGUCUGGUUUACUCAAUCCUGGUGCCCCUUCUUCCCUUCACUGGUGCAACCCUGUGAUYUCUGGAUUUCUGCCAUUUGCAGGAGUCUCCCUGGUGACUGAAGAAGUGGAGACCAGGCCUUCCAGCACAAUCCAUGCAGCGCUGUUUGCCACUGAUGAGAUAGAUGUUCUGGAGAAAGCACAUGAACAGGUGUUUUAGUGACUGGAGAAGAAAUGUAUGCUUCUCAGAAGCACACAAGCUAUUUUGCUCUUCAGCAGUGUCCCUGCUCGGCUCAAGGACAGAGGACACCUGGGUGGAGAAAAUCAGUCAGGAGACUAAGGAGAGGCAUGGAAGAAAGCCUCUGAAGCAGGAUGGAAUGGCAGAAAGGCUGUGUUUUCUCAAGGGAUCUGUGAAAUGAGACAAACUUGCUGUCUUUUCUGCAGUAGUUUGGUCCCAGCUGGCUGUGUUGUGCCCUGCAUCAGCCCCAGAGAGCCUGUGUCAUGAGGCAGGAGACCUUUCAGCUGGAGAAGUCAGCCACAGUUCAAGCUUGGCCCAGAUUCUGAGGUAAGGGGUAAAUCUGCCAUUGUUUCUCAAGCACAGCAGUAACAGCAGCAGGGUCAGGGUUGUGGAUGGCAGCACAGCCAUGUGGCACAGAGCUGCUGGGGGUUCUACAUCCUCACCCCUGCCCAUGUGUCUCCCCUUGGGGAAUGGUUACAAAAGUUUCUCUGCAACUUUGAUGGCACUUGCUAUCUUUUAYUGGACUCCCAUAUACUCAUAACUUUAGUUGAUUAUGGCAGAAA